CCCUUAGAUGUCCUGGGCCGCACGCGCGUUACACUGACGAAUGCAACGAGUUUAUAUUCCUUCUCCGAGGGGAGUGGGUAAGCUUUUAAAAGUUCGUCGUGAUGGGGAUUGAACCUUGCAAUUAUUGUUCAUGAACGAGGAAUUCCUAGUAAGCGUAGUUCAUCAAACUGCGUUGAUUACGUCCCUGCCCUUUGUACACACCGCCCGUCGCUAGUACCGAUUGAAUGAUCCGGUGAGGAUUCAGGACGGCGGAUUUUAGUUUGCCUGAAAGGGUAAGCGGAUCAUGCCGAAAUUUGUUCAAACCGUGUCAUUUAGAGGAACUAAAAGUCGUANCA
This 335-nucleotide ribosomal RNA is filed under the name uncultured eukaryote. Its description in RNAcentral is "partial 18S ribosomal RNA". It matches the Rfam family "Eukaryotic small subunit ribosomal RNA", at positions 1470 to 1796 of the family's 1831-position model. The record is from RNAcentral.